Molecule: ribosomal RNA, 253 nt
Filed under: uncultured bacterium
Lineage: Bacteria
Description: partial 16S ribosomal RNA
Rfam family: Bacterial small subunit ribosomal RNA
Source: RNAcentral
UACGUAGGGGGCAAGCGUUGUCCGGAGUUACUGGGCGUAAAGCGCGCGCAGGCGGCUCGUCAAGCCUGACGUGAAAGCCCCCGGCUCAACCGGGGAGGGUCGUCGGGGACUGGCGGGCUUGAGGUCGGCAGGGGUUGGUGGAAUUCCAGGUGUAGCGGUGAAAUGCGUAGAUAUCUGGAGGAACACCGGUGGCGAAGGCGGCAUCCUGGACCAAUUCUGACGCUGAGGAGCGAAAGCCAGGGGAGCAAACGGG